UCUCUCCUCGCCUCCACGGCGUUGGCCGGCCACCAUCGCUCCUCGCCGUCUCCGUUCCCACCUGUCGGCUCCAGAGGGAAGGCCGUCCAGCCACAGUUUCUCCUCUGACUUCCCCCCCGGUUCAGACGAGGCAUGAAGGAUCCACCUGACUCUUCCUCUGUGCGAAUGUUUCUCCCGAUAACCUGAGGCUAACAGGAGCCUGGAGUCACUUUUCCUCCUGCCCUCCACCAGCCCAACUCUAAAAGAUUAAUAGCAUGUAGAGGGAGCAGCCGGCCAAAAAUCCAGAGCCGCUUAAAAUUCGUCUCAAAUCUCCGUCUGGACCGUUUCCCUCGUCUGCUCUGGUUUAACCGCCGCCAUCUUUAAUUGCUGCGUCAACAGCUGCGCUUACGGAGGAAAACCAGCGGCGCCCCCUGCUGGACGGCGGCCGAACUACAACACUUGAAAAAGGGGAUUCAUUUUAAUCUAACAAAUCAUCAGA
Long non-coding RNA from Poeciliopsis prolifica (blackstripe livebearer), 478 nucleotides. RefSeq lists it as uncharacterized. NCBI's taxonomy places the organism in Eukaryota, Metazoa, Chordata, Actinopteri, Cyprinodontiformes, Poeciliidae. The record is from RefSeq and is a predicted model, not a curated record. The transcript is spliced from 3 exons.